RNAcentral lists this ribosomal RNA (465 nucleotides) under uncultured bacterium. RNAcentral describes it as "partial 16S ribosomal RNA". It matches the Rfam family "Bacterial small subunit ribosomal RNA", at positions 28 to 507 of the family's 1533-position model. The record is from RNAcentral.
GACGAACGCUGGCGGCGUGCUUAACACAUGCAAGUCGAACGGAAAGGCCCUGCUUGCAGGGUACUCGAGUGGCGAACGGGUGAGUAACACGUGGGUGAUCUGCCCUGCACUUCGGGAUAAGCCUGGGAAACUGGGUCUAAUACCGGAUAGGAGCCAUUUUUAGUGUGAUGUUUGUAAAGUUUUUUCGGUGUAGGAUGAGCUCGCGGCCUAUCAGCUUGUUGGUGGGGUAAUGGCCUACCAAGGCGGCGACGGGUAGCCGGCCUGAGAGGGUGGACGGCCACAUUGGGACUGAGAUACGGCCCAGACUCCUACGGGAGGCAGCAGUGGGGAAUAUUGCACAAUGGGCGCAAGCCUGAUGCAGCGACGCCGCGUGGGGGAUGACGGCCUUCGGGUUGUAAACUCCUUUCGCUAGGGACGAAGCUUUUUGUGACGGUACCUAGAGAAGAAGCACCGGCUAACUACGUG